GUGGGGAAUAUUGGACAAUGGGGGGAACCCUGAUCCAGCCAUGCCGCGCGUGUGAAGAAGGCCUUUUGGUUGUAAAGCACUUUAAGCGAGGAGGAGGCUACCGAGAUUAAUACUCUUGGAUAGUGGACGUUACUCGCAGAAUAAGCACCGGCUAACUCUGUGCCAGCAGCCGCGGUAAUACAGAGGGUGCAAGCGUUAAUCGGAUUUACUGGGCGUAAAGCGCGUGUAGGUGGCCAAUUAAGUCAACUGUGAAAGCCCCGAGCUUAACUUGGGAAUUGCAUUCGAUACUGGUUGGCUAGAGUAUGGGAGAGGAUGGUAGAAUUCCAGGUGUAGCGGUGAAAUGCGUAGAGAUCUGGAGGAAUACCGAUGGCGAAGGCAGCCAUCUGGCCUAAUACUGACACUGAGGUGCGAAAGCAUGGGGAGCAAACAGGAUUAGGAACCCGAGUAGUCC
This 451-nucleotide ribosomal RNA is filed under the name uncultured bacterium. RNAcentral describes it as "partial 16S ribosomal RNA". It matches the Rfam family "Bacterial small subunit ribosomal RNA", at positions 354 to 796 of the family's 1533-position model. The record is from RNAcentral.